RNAcentral lists this long non-coding RNA (493 nucleotides) under Bos indicus x Bos taurus (hybrid cattle). RNAcentral's name for it is "lncRNA (ENSBIXG00000024348.1)". The record is from RNAcentral. Lineage: Eukaryota; Metazoa; Chordata; Mammalia; Artiodactyla; Bovidae.
CAGCUUUUGCCCUGAAGAAGCACAGACAGAGAUUUCCAAAGUUAAAUAAGGUGGAAAAUGAAUUGGCUUCAUAGCUUCCUUUUCUUCUAGUCUAACAACAGCUUUCCCCUCCUGGCUCCCCACCCUCUGUUCCUGCAGGUACUUAUUGCCUUAUGCUUAAGACAAUGACGAGGUGAACUUUGAAGUUCAAGGACCGAGCAGUCCUGAGGACAGGACGUCUGGAGGCCCAGGAGCCACAUACACUGUGUUCUCAUAACGGCUGGGCCUGCCUUCAUUCCUGAGAACCUAUCCCUGAGUUUCACAACUACCUUCUUCAGAUGAGCACCUGACAGACAGGCCCAGAUUCCCGCAGCUGACAGCUAGCCCUGUGUUGCGGCUUCUCUGCGGAAACCAGCCUGUCAGAUGGAAGGGCAUGAAGCUCCAGGUGAGCCAGACAGUCACUUAGCCUAAAUCUCACCCGCAAGUGAGGUUGUAUUUUUUGAAUACAAAAGUA